AGGAGAUCUACUCCCUCCGUCGGCCCCUGCAGUCUCUCAACUGCAGACUCUCCCUUCGCCAGGUAAUGAGGGAAGAGGCGUUUCUCCACACUUGGCAAGCCUCUGCACAAAUGUGGUGUCUGUACAGGCAAAUAGGGAACUGCAGCCUGGCGUGGAUUCCCUCAAUGUAUCUGUUGCAGCUGCCAUUAUCCUUCAUUCACUCAGGAAUAAGUUGGAUUGUGUGUGAGGCAGGAUAUAGAUAUAAAUUUAAAUGUAGUGCUUAGGAAAUAGAUGUAAAUAGAAUCUGAAGAUUUUGUUGCUAUUACGAUACGAAUGAUACAAGUCUGUGAUUUUUUGCAUUAUUUUCAAAAUAAAAGAUUAUUUGCUCA
Penaeus vannamei (Pacific white shrimp) is the source of this 368-nucleotide non-coding RNA. The record is from RefSeq and is a predicted model, not a curated record. NCBI's taxonomy places the organism in Eukaryota, Metazoa, Arthropoda, Malacostraca, Decapoda, Penaeidae.